GAUCAUGGCUCAGGAUGAACGCUGGCGGCGUGCCUAACACAUGCAAGUCGAACGGAGUCGUUUUGGAAAUCUCUUCGGAGAUGGAAUUCUCAACUUAGUGGCGGACGGGUGAGUAACGCGUGAGCAAUCUGCCUUUAAGAGGGGGAUAACAGUCGGAAACGGCUGCUAAUACCGCAUAAAGCAUUAAAUUCGCAUGUUUUUGAUGCCAAAGGAGCAAUCCGCUUUUA
RNAcentral lists this ribosomal RNA (227 nucleotides) under uncultured bacterium. Its description in RNAcentral is "partial 16S ribosomal RNA". It matches the Rfam family "Bacterial small subunit ribosomal RNA", at positions 15 to 223 of the family's 1533-position model. The record is from RNAcentral.